RNAcentral lists this microRNA precursor (190 nucleotides) under Oryza brachyantha (malo sina). RNAcentral describes it as "MIR812 microRNA precursor family". It matches the Rfam family "MIR812 microRNA precursor family", at positions 27 to 205 of the family's 205-position model. Lineage: Eukaryota; Viridiplantae; Streptophyta; Magnoliopsida; Poales; Poaceae. The record is from Rfam by way of RNAcentral.
UAUAUUGUUUAUAUUCAACGUUUGAUCAUUCAUCUUAUUUAAAAAUUAUAAUUAAUAUUUUUAUUAUUUUUAGAUAAUAAAAUAUAAAUAUUAUUUUAUGUGUGACUAUUUUUUUUAGAUUUUUUUAUAAAUUUUUUAAAUAAGACGAACGGUCAAACGUUAAAUACAAAAAUUUACUAAUGCAGUUAUA